This 74-nucleotide transfer RNA is filed under the name Rhizobium phage RHph_Y2_6. RNAcentral describes it as "tRNA-Gln". It matches the Rfam family "tRNA". Rfam says of the family: Transfer RNA (tRNA) molecules are approximately 80 nucleotides in length. RNAcentral also lists the same sequence under 1 other name. The record is from RNAcentral. Lineage: Duplodnaviria; Heunggongvirae; Uroviricota; Caudoviricetes; Schitoviridae.
UGGGGAAUGGUGAAGUGGUAUCACAACGGCUUUUGGGUCCGUUAUCUCUGGUUCGAAUCCAGGUUCCCCAACCA